This 503-nucleotide ribosomal RNA is filed under the name uncultured bacterium. Its description in RNAcentral is "partial 16S ribosomal RNA". It matches the Rfam family "Bacterial small subunit ribosomal RNA", at positions 30 to 523 of the family's 1533-position model. The record is from RNAcentral.
AUUGAACGCUGGCGGCAGGCUUAACACAUGCAAGUCGAGCGGAGUGAUGGUGCUUGCACUAUCACUUAGCGGCGGACGGGUGAGUAAUGCUUAGGAAUCUGCCUAUUAGUGGGGGACGACAUCUCGAAAGGGAUGCUAAUACCGCAUACGUCCUACGGGAGAAAGCAGGGGAUCACUUGUGACCUUGCGCUAAUAGAUGAGCCUAAGUCGGAUUAGCUAGUUGGUGGGGUAAAGGCCUACCAAGGCGACGAUCUGUAGCGGGUCUGAGAGGAGGAGCCGCCACACUGGGACUGAGACACGGCCCAGACUCCGACGGGAGGCAGCAGUGGGGAAUAUUGGACAAUGGGGGGAACCCUGAUCCAGCCAUGCCGCGUGUGUGAAGAAGGCCUUAUGGUUGUAAAGCACUUUAAGCGAGGAGGAGGCUCUUUUGGUUAAUACCCAAGAUGAGUGGACGUUACUCGCAGAAUAAGCACCGGCUAACUCUGUGCCAGCCGCCGCUGUAA